CCUACGGGUGGCAGCAGUGGGGAAUAUUGCACAAUGGGCGCAAGCCUGAUGCAGCCAUGCCGCGUGUGUGAAGAAGGCCUUCGGGUUGUAAAGCACUUUCAGCGGGGAGGAAGGCGGUGAGGUUAAUAACCUCAUCGAUUGACGUUACCCGCAGAAGAAGCACCGGCUAACUCCGUGCCAGCAGCCGCGGUAAUACGGAGGGUGCAAGCGUUAAUCGGAAUUACUGGGCGUAAAGCGCACGCAGGCGGUCUGUCAAGUCGGAUGUGAAAUCCCCGGGCUCAACCUGGGAACUGCAUUCGAAACUGGCAGGCUAGAGUCUUGUAGAGGGGGGUAGAAUUCCAGGUGUAGCGGUGAAAUGCGUAGAGAUCUGGAGGAAUACCGGUGGCGAAGGCGGCCCCCUGGACAAAGACUGACGCUCAGGUGCGAAAGCGUGGCGAGCAAACAGGAUUAGAUACCCGUGUAGUC
RNAcentral lists this ribosomal RNA (465 nucleotides) under uncultured Klebsiella sp. RNAcentral describes it as "bacterial SSU rRNA". It matches the Rfam family "Bacterial small subunit ribosomal RNA", at positions 338 to 795 of the family's 1533-position model. Lineage: Bacteria; Pseudomonadati; Pseudomonadota; Gammaproteobacteria; Enterobacterales; Enterobacteriaceae. The record is from RNAcentral.